Molecule: non-coding RNA, 27 nt
Filed under: Mus musculus (house mouse)
Lineage: Eukaryota; Metazoa; Chordata; Mammalia; Rodentia; Muridae
Source: RNAcentral
UGGGCAUAUGAUGUGUUGGACCUCAGC